CAGUGGUGGAGCAGCUGACCCAAGAGUUCUGCGAGCGCAUGAGAGCCCAGGCCGGCACCCCUGUGGCCAUUGAGGAGGAAUUCUCUCUCCUCACCUGUAGCAUCAUCUGUUACCUCACCUUCGGAGACAAGAUCAAGGAGGACAACUUAAUGCCUGCCUAUUACAAAUGUAUCCAGGAGGUGUUAAAAACCUGGAGCCACUGGUCCAUCCAAAUUGUGGAUGUGAUUCCCUUUCUCAGGGUGAGGACCUGGAGCCUAGACACCCCUGGGUUGUGGGGAAAGCUGGGGUAGAGGGAGAGGCUUCUUCCCACAGCUGCAUUCUCAUGCUUCCCACCGCAGUUCUUCCCCAAUCCAGGUCUCCGGAGGCUGAAGCAGGCCAUAGAGAGGAGGGACCACAUCGUGGAGAAGCAGCUGAGGCAGCACAAGGUGGGGACUGUGCGUGGACGGCCUCCCCUCGGCCCACAGCCAGUGAUGCUACCGGCCUCGGCAUUGCUACGAGGCGGGUUCUUUUGCAUAUCCCAGUUAUGGGCCUGUUGCCACUCUGUACUCCUCUCCCCAGGCCA
Molecule: small RNA, 562 nt
Filed under: Pongo abelii (Sumatran orangutan)
Lineage: Eukaryota; Metazoa; Chordata; Mammalia; Primates; Hominidae
Description: retained intron
Source: RNAcentral